ACUGCUCAGUAACACGUAGUCAACCUGCCCUCGAGUCGAGAAUAAUCUCGGGAAACUGAGGCUAAUGCUCGAUAGAUCAAGAUUCCUGGAAUGGGUUUUGGUCCAAACGGUGUAACGGCAUCUCGUUAUUUCCGCUCGAGGAUGGGACUGCGGCCGAUCAGGCUGUUGGUGGGGUAAAGGCCCACCAAACCAGUAACCGGUACGGGCUUUGAGAGAAGGAGCCCGGAGAUGGACACUGAGACAAGGGUCCAGGUCCUACGGGGCGCAGCAGGCGCGAAACCUUCGCAAUGCGCGAAAGCGCGACGAGGUUAUUCUGAGUGAUUUCCGCUGAGGAAAUCUUUUCCUAGAUCUAAAACGUCUGGGGAAUAAGGGGAGGGCAAGUCUGGUGUCAGCCGCCGCGGUAAUACCAGCUCCUCGAGUGGUCAGGGCGUUUAUUGGGCCUAAAGCAUCCGUAGCCUGCUCAGUAGGUCUCCUGUUAAAUCCAACGGCUCAACCGUUGGUCUGCAGGAGAUACCGCUGGGCUAGGAGGCGGGAGAGGUGGACGGUACUCCGAGGGUAGGGGUAAAAUCCUUUGAUCCCCGGAAGACCACCAAUGGCGAAGGCGGUCCACCAGAACGCGCUCGACGGUGAGGGAUGAAAGCUGGGGGAGCGAACCGGAUUAGAUACCCGGGUAGUCCCAGCUGUAAACGAUGCGAGCUAGGUGACACGACGCCUUCGGGGCAUCGUGGUGCCGCAGGGAAGCCGUUAAGCUCGCCGCCUGGGGAGUACGGACGCAAGACUGAAACUUAAAGGAAUUGGCGGGGGAGCAC
Molecule: ribosomal RNA, 809 nt
Filed under: uncultured archaeon
Lineage: Archaea
Description: bacterial SSU rRNA
Rfam family: Archaeal small subunit ribosomal RNA
Source: RNAcentral